Molecule: ribosomal RNA, 573 nt
Filed under: Triticum aestivum (bread wheat)
Lineage: Eukaryota; Viridiplantae; Streptophyta; Magnoliopsida; Poales; Poaceae
Description: partial small subunit ribosomal RNA
Source: RNAcentral
AUGAGGCCUCACAUCUGUUUUGCUCUGAGCAAGCUGAGUCGGUUUGUGUCAAAACCGGGAGAUGAUCAUUGGCAUGCGCUUGAGAGAGUUAUGCGCUAUUUGAAAGGCACCGCGAGCUAUGGGAUUCACUACACCGGGUAUGAGAUUAAGGCCACAAGUGGUUAUGUUUUUACACUUGGUGGUGGCGCUGUUUCCUGGAAGUCUUGCAAGCAGACCAUCUUAACGAGGUCAACUAUGGAAGCAGAACUCACAGCAUUAGACACUGCCACUGUUGAAGCAGAGUGGCUUCGUGAACUCUUGAUGGACUUACCUAUGGUUGAAAAACCAAUACCACCUAUCCUGAUGAACUGUGAUAAUCAAACUGUGAUCGUCAAGAUAAACAGUUCUAAGGACAAUAUGAAGUCCUCAAGGCAUGUGAAGAGGAGACUAAAAUCUGUCAGAAAAUUGAGGAACUCCGGAGUUAUUAUGUUGGAUUAUAUCCAAACGUCGAAAAACUUGGCAGAUCCCUUCACAAAGGGUCUAUCACGUAAUGUGAUAGAUAAUGCAUCGAUGGAGAUGGGUUUGAGACCCACC